GGGUCAGCUGAAAAGGCCUGCUGCUGCUUUACAGUUACUACCAAGGCUCAACCCUUAGAAUGCUGAGAAAAUCUUCAGCCUGAUUCAAGGGAGGGCUCUUCUGGGAACGAGUUCAAUGAAACCAAAAGAGAACUUACUAUGAGAAAUUUAUUUAAGAUUCUGACUUCAAUGGAAUCUCUUCUUUCUAAAUGUGUUAUAAAAUCCAGAGAAAAAUGUUGCAUAGUAUUAUGAAUGGCUACUAUUUUUGCCAGCUCCAUUCCCAUUCCUUCUUCCUUUCCUCUUUUCCUUCCUUCCUUUCUCCUUCCUUCCACCCCCCUUUCAUUUAUCUUCCUCUUCCUUCCUUCCUUUCCUUUCUUCCUUCUUCCUUCCUCUCUCCUUCCCUUCUUCCUUUCCUUCCUUCCUUCCUUCCUUCUUCUCUCCCUCCCUUUCCUCCUUUUUCCCUCCCUUUCCUUUCCCUCCUUCCUUCCUUCAUUCCUUCCUCCCUCUUCCUUCAUCUUUCCUUUCUUCAUUAUUCCUUUCCUCAGCUAUUCCCUCCUCCAUCAUUCUUUCAUUUUUCAAAUAUUUCAUUUCCUUCCUUCUUCCCUCCCUUCCUUCCUUCCUUCCUUUCCUUCCUUCCUUCCUUCCUUCCUUCCUUCCUUCCUUCCUUCCUUCCAUCUUUCCUUCCUUCCUUCCUUCCUUCCUUCCCUUCCUUCCUUCCAUUCCAUUCUUCCAUUCCAUUCCUCCAUUCCUUUCUUCAUUCCUUUCCUCCUUUUUCAUUUCUUUCUUCCUCCUCCUCAUUCCAUUCAUGAUCAUAUUUUCAUUUCAUUCUUCCCAUUCAUCGUUCACAAUUUCAUUCAUUUCAUUUCCAUUCAUUCAUUCAGUAUUCAUUCAUUCAUUCAUUCAUUCCCUUCCCUUCCCUCCACCCUCCCUCCCCCCUCCCUCCCUCUCUUCCUUUCUCCCUCCCUCCCUCUCUUCCUUUCUCAUUUUCUUCCUCCCUCCUCAUUCCCUACUCCCUUGCUCCUUCCAGCCCCAUCUUUCUUCCUUUUUUCUUUUUCUUUUUUGUUAUUUGGGAGGGUUGUGUGCCUCACACACCCCUUCUGUGAUUAAAAUCUACUCCUUGAUUUUAGGGGGUGUGGGCAUGUGAUCUAGAUUAGGCCAGUCAGAUUCUUCAAACAGGAAUUUGAAUAUUGACAUCAGGGACAAAAAGCAACUGGAGC
This 1196-nucleotide long non-coding RNA is filed under the name Papio anubis (olive baboon). RNAcentral describes it as "lncRNA (ENSPANG00000046307.1)". The record is from RNAcentral. Lineage: Eukaryota; Metazoa; Chordata; Mammalia; Primates; Cercopithecidae.